This is a long non-coding RNA of Fopius arisanus, 2806 nucleotides long. RefSeq lists it as uncharacterized. The record is from RefSeq and is a predicted model, not a curated record. Lineage: Eukaryota; Metazoa; Arthropoda; Insecta; Hymenoptera; Braconidae. The transcript is spliced from 2 exons.
GCUCGGACAUCCGUUGGGUCGACUAGAAUAUUGUGAGUGCUCCACAUGUACUUAAAGUAUGUCUCAGUUUUCAUGUAACUUGGUAUUCACAUAUAAACUAUACGUGUGAAUGAAUGAAUACUUCACUAAAGUAAAUAAAUCUUCGCUAACCAUAUUAUUUUCUGCUCCAUAUCCCUCGGUCAACUACUAAGUACUUUUCGGAAGGCAAUAUUCUGAUUUUGUCAAACUGUACACAUAUCCAUUUUCAGAUUUUUUGUUCGAAUUUUUUUAUCCUUAACUACAAAACUCACGUAAAGUUUUUAGUCACCGUCUUAUUUUGCUCACGUAUUAUAUAUUAUAUAAUAGCUUUUCCAGACUGGCACCUGAAGAACACCAUUUUCAUUAAUUUUCAUUUUUCAAAAGCGCGUUCCUCAGGCCCUGCAUUUGGAUGAAUUUUGUUAAAUUCAGGCUGUGGAAAACAUAUCACCCUUCCCCAUAUACUUGCCAAUUUUGCAUGUGCGGAGCGAUGAUCUGUUUUGCACGGUUAGGCCUAAAAAUAACUAUUUUUACAGAAAUUAAAGAUCAUGAUAUAAUAUAUCCCAUCCUUUCCUCAUAUAUAAAGAGAAGCAUCGAGAGUCUCGAAUUGUACUCGAAUGGCAUCUCGAAGAAGAAUUGAACGACAAUCGAUUCAGCAUAGUCGAAACUCACAGAAAAUGUGACAUGUGCGUUCUGAAGGUUAAAACAGUCACGAAACAGUAGCGCUGUUUUCCUUUUCAAAAAAUAUUCCCACCAUUGAUCUCUAAUAGCUGGAUAGACUAUCGAGUAUUCUCCUUGUGAGGUGAUUUGAAAGUCAAUCAACGCUUCCGAACAGUAGUCCGGGAGCUACAAUUCUAUUAAGUGCGCAUGCUCAGCGCAGUUGUCAGUGGAAGGGGAGAAGCAUGUUUACCAGGGUAGUUGGAAAGCUUCUGGGUAAAUUUCCAAGAGAUACAAAUCAUCAAAAAUAGCAGGAAAUGGGUCGUUAGAACUUUUAGUGUAUUUUUUGAUAUGGGAUCUGCAUAGGAAAAGCGAACAGGAAAUUAAUAUUCUUGGUUUUUUUUUUAUUUUCGCAACUCGGAAAUAAACUUAUCUAUUCACUUCAAUUUGAGCGGAUUAUAAUGAAAACUCCUCACUGGACAAGGAGAAAAUAUAAUACUAUUCAUGAUGACUGGAUAAUUUUUCAACUUUUGGAAAAAAUUUAAAGUGUUUAUUUUCUUCUACUUGAAUUGUGAAAAGAUUAUAUAGAAUUUUGACAUUUGAAGAUGGGAAUUUAUUCAGUACAUUUAACUAAAUGUUGAAAAGUCAACUACUUCUUACAGUAGAGGAGGACGCAGUCGGCAACCACCAAUCGUAUUUUUGAUUAAAAAAAAGAGUCAUUAAUAGCACAUAAGUAAUUCGAAUUCGAGAAUUAUUCUAUUGAAAUAAAAAAUCUGGGAAUUUUUUGUCCAAGAAGAAACGAAAUACUUCUGUCACCCGGACAGUUCUCAGAAAUAACGAAUGUGUCACGUAGUCUAAAUCGUUAUUGCGUCAUUUUUCCAGCGUCAUUUACUGCCCGCAUCACCAUCCCUUGAGUGACGCAGAUACACAGUCAAGGGCACUGAAGUACUCGAGCGACUCUUAGCGGAGGCGCUGCUCAUCCUACAGUACUGCCUCAAUGUCGGUGUAGAGAGGUGUAGGCAUAGUCUGUCCAGUUAUAUAGAAAUCAGUGAUUCUCAUAGACUCAUUAGUUCGAUGAUAAUUUCAACAAGUUAAUAACGAAUGGCGGUUUUCAUUAGUGAUUGCCUCAUGCUUUGUGUUAUCAGAGAUUAUAAGGGAGAUUGCUAAGGCUUAUGGAAAGGCUUUGACAAGUGAUUCAUUGCGGCGGCUACGGAACUACGUCCAGAGAGCCCGUACGUAUUGCUAGGAGGGUUGAAAUCGUGGGUAUGGUCACGUGUCAAUUUUUGGAGGCCCCCGAUUCAUCAGCUGUUAAUUUUUUUAAUUUUCAACUUUUUUUUCUGUAUUCUUGUAAUGUUAAUAAACAACUAAUAAAAAAUCAAUAGUAAAAGUAUUAAUUGCCUAUUUUUUAUGACACUGCAAAAAUUACCUGAAAUUCAUGUUUCUAGACUAGAAGACCCCCAUAAAAUCAACUAAGCCGACUAAAAUCAACUCAUGAACUCAAAAUUAACUAAAUCGGCUGAAAGCGAGCCAAAACGACAUGAACUACGAUGGAAAUUGAAAAGUAAAUCUCAAAUAUUGAGCACAGAAAUGCAAAAUUGGGGAAUUAUUUAUUGAAAUGGAACAAGUGUUGAACUGAUUUGCGUUAUUGUCUUCAAUGUUAACAUUCAUCACGAUGAGAACACUGAUGAAUGAUGAAUUUUCGACAAAAAAAAGGAAGAACAAGGGUUAAGAAUGUAGAAUAGAAAGAAGAUAACGGAAAGGCGUCAACUAGGUUUUCUUUAUAUAUAAAGGAUAUAUAUAAAGGAGAGCAUAAUAGCUACCGCUCAAAAAUCGAAUUGAAGAAAAUUGAUAUCGAAUGAAGGCAAGCUCCGGUACAAUCAACGACAGAUAACGUAGUUGAGAUAAUGAGCGUUAAUUUGCAAGUCAUAUAAUUCUAAUUGGAGCUAAAAUACAAUAUAUUGAAUAGGAGCCAUGUGUAAUUGCAUGCAUCGAGAGAAAAUUAUCUUCUUGAAAAAAAAAAGAUAAAUUGAAAAAUAUCAUGGCGAAAGGCACUGUAGGAAAAUGUAACGGUGAAAACUUAGCUUACGUUUCAGUAAUUAAAUAUCCAAAUAUGAUUUUUUUCCAUUUCCUUAUU